RNAcentral lists this ribosomal RNA (448 nucleotides) under uncultured bacterium. RNAcentral's name for it is "partial 16S ribosomal RNA". It matches the Rfam family "Bacterial small subunit ribosomal RNA", at positions 329 to 794 of the family's 1533-position model. The record is from RNAcentral.
GUCCAGACUCCUACGGGAGGCAGCAGUGGGGAAUAUUGCACAAUGGGGGAAACCCUGAUGCAGCGACGCCGCGUGAGUGAAGAAGUAUUUCGGUAUGUAAAGCUCUAUCAGCAGGGAAGAAAAUGACGGUACCUGACUAAGAAGCCCCGGCUAACUACGUGCCAGCAGCCGCGGUAAUACGUAGGGGGCAAGCGUUAUCCGGAUUUACUGGGUGUAAAGGGAGCGUAGACGGCAUGGCAAGUCAGAUGUGAAAGCCCGGGGCUCAACCCCGGGACUGCAUUUGAAACUGUCAGGCUGGAGUGCAGGAGAGGUAAGUGGAAUUCCUAGUGUAGCGGUGAAAUGCGUAGAUAUUAGGAGGAACACCAGUGGCGAAGGCGGCUUACUGGACGGCAACUGACGCUGAGGCUCGAAAGCGUGGGGAGCAAACAGGAUUAGAUACCCGAGUACC